ACAUGGGUGCCAGAUGUGUUAUGGGUUAGUUUUAAGAGCUAGGUAAGGAAAUAUCCCCCGUGUU
This 64-nucleotide transfer RNA is filed under the name Prosthogonimus cuneatus. Its description in RNAcentral is "tRNA-Leu". The record is from RNAcentral. Lineage: Eukaryota; Metazoa; Platyhelminthes; Trematoda; Plagiorchiida; Prosthogonimidae.